Molecule: signal recognition particle RNA, 100 nt
Filed under: Acetatifactor sp.
Lineage: Bacteria; Bacillati; Bacillota; Clostridia; Lachnospirales; Lachnospiraceae
Description: signal recognition particle sRNA small type
Rfam family: Bacterial small signal recognition particle RNA
About the family: The signal recognition particle (SRP) is a universally conserved ribonucleoprotein involved in the co-translational targeting of proteins to membranes. Archaeal SRP consists of a 7S RNA and homologues of the eukaryotic SRP19 and SRP54 proteins.
Source: RNAcentral
AAUUCGGUCUCACGCAAUGGGAAUCUGCGAACCGUGUCAGGUUGGGAACAAAGCAGCACUAAGCAGAACCUUCCAUGUGCCGUGAGGUCACCGGGUGGAG